This 464-nucleotide ribosomal RNA is filed under the name Vreelandella stevensii. RNAcentral describes it as "partial 16S ribosomal RNA". It matches the Rfam family "Bacterial small subunit ribosomal RNA", at positions 338 to 794 of the family's 1533-position model. The record is from RNAcentral. Lineage: Bacteria; Pseudomonadati; Pseudomonadota; Gammaproteobacteria; Oceanospirillales; Halomonadaceae.
CCUACGGGGUGCAGCAGUGGGGAAUAUUGGACAAUGGGCGAAAGCCUGAUCCAGCCAUGCCGCGUGUGUGAAGAAGGCCUUCGGGUUGUAAAGCACUUUCAGUGGGGAAGAAAGCCUUGGGGCUAAUACCCUCGAGGAAGGACAUCACCCACAGAAGAAGCACCGGCUAACUCCGUGCCAGCAGCCGCGGUAAUACGGAGGGUGCGAGCGUUAAUCGGAAUUACUGGGCGUAAAGCGCGCGUAGGCGGUCUGAUAAGCCGGUUGUGAAAGCCCCGGGCUCAACCUGGGAACGGCAUCCGGAACUGUCAGGCUAGAGUGCAGGAGAGGAAGGUAGAAUUCCCGGUGUAGCGGUGAAAUGCGUAGAGAUCGGGAGGAAUACCAGUGGCGAAGGCGGCCUUCUGGACUGACACUGACGCUGAGGUGCGAAAGCGUGGGUAGCAAACAGGAUUAGAUACCCGAGUAGU